GUAUAUUUUGGGCAGUUAAAAGUGCUGAUAAACUCAUAAAAGCACAUUGUUUGCCUCUAGAUUGAACACUAAAAAGGUCAUUGCCUUGAUGUAUAUAAGAAGAAAAAAAUAGAGCCGAACUUACCUGAAUGUUUCCGAAUAUUUUUGAUCUCUUGCUGUCUUGCAUCCGUAUUUAAAAGCUUGACCGCUCCCCUCAUUUAACAAACGUUCCUGAAGCUUAAUUAUUCCCCCCGGAUUAUGACAAACAUCUUUACAGACAGACACAAGAUCUCGAUCUCGACAAUACAUAACUCGCGCGAAAGACUGGGUCGAGUGGACUCUGGAGAAACCACCGCGUGUCAAGAAUAGUGUGCUGCCUCGCUACGCUCGGCAGCAAUAAU
Paramuricea clavata is the source of this 380-nucleotide non-coding RNA. The record is from the annotation of a GenBank genome assembly. NCBI's taxonomy places the organism in Eukaryota, Metazoa, Cnidaria, Anthozoa, Malacalcyonacea, Plexauridae.